CAAUUUUGGCCAUGAGAGAGCACUCAGCGUCUCUCACAGAGAUGCUGGUGUUAAUUAUGGGAAAACAGCUGGACCAGACUCCCAAUUAGUGGAUGAAAGAUCUUUUGACUACAAUUUUUUGGAAAUGGAACCUUUGAGUAAUUUGAAAUGGUAUGAUUUCUGUUUUAGGGAAGUACUUCCUGGAAGAGUCGUAAGGAGUGUGGGUGAUCUUGAGUCUGCUGUUUCUGCAGAGACCAAAGAA
Molecule: unclassified non-coding RNA, 241 nt
Filed under: Hevea brasiliensis (rubber tree)
Lineage: Eukaryota; Viridiplantae; Streptophyta; Magnoliopsida; Malpighiales; Euphorbiaceae
Source: RNAcentral